GUGACCUAAGCUGUCUCACUUGAAUAAGAUGCGGCUUGUUUUACUAGAGAAAGAUGAUCAACAAUGUACUGCUAACAAAUAAACAGGACAUGUAAUAAGCAAUAUCAAAAUGAGAGAAAGGAAAGAGACAGAGAAAAUGAGAGAUAUUUAUUAUGAGAAAUUGGCUUAUGCAAUUAUGGAGAGUGAGAAGUCCCACAGUCUGCCAUCUACAAGCUGAAAACUCAGAAAAGCAAGUGGUGCAAUUCAGUCUGAGACCAAAGGUGUGAGAAUCAGGGGAGCUGAUGUUAAUCCAAGUCCAAGGGCGAGAGAAGAGGAGAUAUAUUUCAGCUCAAGCAUGCAGGAAAUACUUCCAAUACGAUCAAUUUUAAGCUACCAAUGUGAUGUCAACAAACUUGUGAAAUUUCUAAAAUAUUUGCAAUCAACUAUCAUGAGCCUAAACAACUUGGCUCCAGCGUAUCACUGGAAUAUAUGGAAGGCAUGAUUUGGAAUUGUAAUGUGGUGAUCGGGAGAAUACAUAACACAAUAACACCUGAGCUUUGUGGAUAUAUGAGAGAUGAGUGUCCAGGGAUGGAAACAGCCAUUGCUAAGAAAUGAGGAUCUGGCAUUUUUGAGGAAUAGUAAACAAGCCAACAGGGCUGGUGCCAAGUAAAUAAAGAGGAAUCAUGUUGGAAAUGAAGUGAAAGAGGA
RNAcentral lists this long non-coding RNA (687 nucleotides) under Pan troglodytes (chimpanzee). RNAcentral's name for it is "long non-coding RNA NONPTRT012607". Lineage: Eukaryota; Metazoa; Chordata; Mammalia; Primates; Hominidae. The record is from RNAcentral.